RNAcentral lists this ribosomal RNA (799 nucleotides) under Grimmia montana. RNAcentral's name for it is "eukaryotic LSU rRNA". The stretch from base 384 to 536 matches the Rfam family "5.8S ribosomal RNA". The record is from RNAcentral. Lineage: Eukaryota; Viridiplantae; Streptophyta; Bryopsida; Grimmiales; Grimmiaceae.
UCAUUGCACACACAUUUGCGAAACCAACCCCUUUGCGAUUUACCACUGUCCCACCCCCCAACUGGCUCCGGCCAGCCCGAGUCUCCUGACUCUGACCGAACACGGCGAGGGGCCCUAACCCGUGUUUGGUUGGAUGUGGGGACUCGGUGUUUUGGGAAACUCCAUGUACAAACAUUGGAUGGCGCAAUGCAUCAACACUUCAAAAUUUGACUGAKUAUGAUACCAAGGAGAACGACCGUGGUUUGAGGGUCACCACUCACCCACAGCCAUUCCCCCCACUCCUACCCGGAUCUCCGGCGUGGAGUGGAGUGGGAGUGGAGUGAGUGCGUGGUGCCCCCCCGGCCCCCGGGAGUUCGAGUUGUGUUUAAGUGAUAAACAAAAACAACUCUCAGCAACGGAUAUCUUGGCUCUGCAACGAUGAAGAACGCAGCGAAAUGCGAUACGUAGUGUGAAUUGCAGAAUUCCGCGAAUCAUCGAGUCUUUGAACGCAAGUUGCGCCCGAGACGAAAGUGUCGGGCAUUCCUGGCAGAGCGUCACCGCGCCACCCACCGACCCCCCACUCCGCAUGGAGUGCGGGCCGAGUGGAACUGGCCGUCCCAGUGAGAGAACCGCCGCUGCUGCUCCUUCGCGAGUGGUGGCGGUGGUGACUGGGUACGGCUGAAAUGGAGGGAAUUCUUGGCCCCGCCGCGGCGACACAGCCCGCGAUCCAGGUGAUCCCGGCCCCCCGCAAGGGGAAAAGGGAAAGUGUUGGUUGGCUGUGUUGUCCCCCCAGGAGUUGGAUUCCGAAGCAGGCAGGCCC